This 253-nucleotide ribosomal RNA is filed under the name uncultured bacterium. RNAcentral's name for it is "partial 16S ribosomal RNA". It matches the Rfam family "Bacterial small subunit ribosomal RNA", at positions 524 to 776 of the family's 1533-position model. The record is from RNAcentral.
UACGUAGGGGGCGAGCGUUGUCCGGAAUCAUUGGGCGUAAAGCGCGUGUAGGCGGCUCGAUAAGUCCGGUGUGAAACCUUGGGGCUCAACCCCAAGCCUGCACUGGAUACUGUCGAGCUAGAGUCCGGGAGGGGAGAGCGGAAUUCCUAGUGUAGCGGUGAAAUGCGCAGAUAUUAGGAAGAACACCGGUGGCGAAGGCGGCUCUCUGGAACGGUACUGACGCUGAGACGCGAAAGCGUGGGGAGCGAACAGG